GAGACGGUAAGUAAAACAAAUACUGGGGAGUUCUUACCCCCCAAUUGACUAUGGUCUCGUUUC
This 63-nucleotide transfer RNA is filed under the name Graffilla buccinicola. RNAcentral's name for it is "tRNA-Lys". The record is from RNAcentral. Lineage: Eukaryota; Metazoa; Platyhelminthes; Rhabdocoela; Graffillidae.